UUUUUUUUUUUUUUUUUUUAAUGUAUUAUUUGGAGGGUAAAGUUGAAUAGGUCAGCGCAGGGUAAACAGCCUCCCUGUCGCAUUCUGCAGGCUGAAGAGAACCAGAUUGGCGAGGCGGAUUUUUGAUAAGACUCGGAAUAAAUGGCAUGGUUUAGAUCUGCUCUGCCCACCCUCCUCCUCCUCCUGCCCCCACCCUCUUCUCGGCGGUGUGUCCCGUCCCCGUCGCCCCCCCCCCCCCCCAAAUCCUUCACUCUUUUCUGCCUCUCGGUCAUUUCUUUUGCAUUUCGCGGAAGUUUUCAGCAAAUCCACCCUCGCUCCCAGCUCUCGCAGGGCGCGAUAACACCGGAGCCCUCUGAAAGUUUGAGGCACGGAGUCGCUGGAAACUCGAGGAAAACCCGCUCUUUCUUGGAAUGGAAAAGGGGGAAACCAGUAGCAAAGCUCCCCCUUCACCAGGAGCAGCCCAGUUAAUCCAACGAAAAAGAGGGGAGGAGGAGGAAGAGGAGGAGGAGAAAUAGGGAGAAAGAAAAUAAAGAGCAACACCUAAGGAAGAGCAAGAAGUUCCUGCAGGAGCUGGACACUGCCGAGGGGGAAAGAAGCGCUCAAAUCUCAGCGCAAAACCUUCCACCGGUGGAGCCCGGACAGGACCUGCCGAGCCGAGCCCGGUUCCCCCCCCCCCGGCUGCUGGGCUCAGGAGCCGCCAACCUCCCCGCUCCGGGGGCCAGAGUAGCCG
This is a long non-coding RNA of Aquila chrysaetos chrysaetos, 730 nucleotides long. RefSeq lists it as uncharacterized. The transcript has 4 exons. NCBI's taxonomy places the organism in Eukaryota, Metazoa, Chordata, Aves, Accipitriformes, Accipitridae. The record is from RefSeq and is a predicted model, not a curated record.